Molecule: ribosomal RNA, 254 nt
Filed under: uncultured bacterium
Lineage: Bacteria
Description: partial 16S ribosomal RNA
Rfam family: Bacterial small subunit ribosomal RNA
Source: RNAcentral
UACGGAGGAUCCAAGCGUUAUCCGGAAUUACUGGGCGUAAAGAGUUGCGUAGGUGGCAUAGUAAGUUGAUGGUGAAAUCCUGGGGCUCAACCCCUUACCCAUUAUCAAAACUGCUGAGCUAGAGGACGAGAGAGGUACCUGGAAUUCCCAGUGUAGGAGUGAAAUCCGUAGAUAUUGGGAGGAACACCGAUGGCGUAAGCAGGGUACUGGCUCGUUCCUGACACUAAGGCACGAAAGCGUGGGGAGCAAACGGG